RNAcentral lists this long non-coding RNA (1879 nucleotides) under Anser cygnoides (Swan goose). RNAcentral's name for it is "lncRNA (ENSACDG00005013686.1)". The record is from RNAcentral. Lineage: Eukaryota; Metazoa; Chordata; Aves; Anseriformes; Anatidae.
AUGGCAUGGGUUCGCAAUGCCCUAGGGCUGCUUCCCUCUCCACAGGCAGCACAAGCAUCCCUCCACCCAGCCACGGGUGGCCCGUGCACCCUAGUGCUGGUGGCAGAGUACCUCAGGAGCGCUCCCGGCCCUGGUAAAAGCCAUGCCCCUGCAGAAGUGCUAUGUGCAGAGAGCAAACUCCAGCAACGCAUCAUGUUCCAUGCUGCAGCAGACGCCAAAGAGAGUCAGACCAGAGCAGGUGCUGCCUGGAUGCCCACAGUCAGCGUAACAGUGCAGCCCCACCGUGAGCUCAGCACUUCAUGCCCUGGUUCGUUUGCCAGACAUGCCUGCAUGUGUCAGCACCUCAUCUGGGUUAAAUUCAUGCUGCUUGGUGCUCCAACUGCUAGUGACAGCUCUGGGUGCUGACCUCUGCUGUCAGCCACCACUGAGCCUCCUGCCAGACACCUGGAUAUACGUAUCUGGAGAUACCUGGAGCAUCCUGGGCAACAGGCAUGGACAACUAGCUCAGACCAGAUGCUCAGCAUUUGCAUGGCUGAAGUUAGCUGAGGUGAAGCCCUGCUGAAAGCUGAAGCUAUCUCACCACAAGGAGGACAUCCUGCUUCUCCCCUCCUGGUCCCAGCUUCCCUCUCCCUGCAGCUGCCAGCCAUGCAGUCCUGACCCUUCCCUUGCACUGACUCUGCACCUCCUCAGCCCUUUGCUGAGCCCCUGUGACCAAAUACUGUAGGGCAAAACUGCAAGGACAGCUACAAGGAUCAGUCUUGGCCUAGUUUGCGAGUUGGCUCCACUCAUGGAGCACAGGGCCAGCGAGUGCCAGAACUGGGCAUGGACAGGGGAUGGGGAGUGAUGGGGACCUUCACACCAACAGCUCGGACUGGCUCUCCCUGCCUCACGUACCUGCACCCAAGUGCUCAGGCCAUGAACCCCAGCGGGAGUACAGCUCGCCACUUGUUUGGAGGCUUGCAGUGACUCCACAGCUUUCCUGUGAACAUGGUAUUUCCUCCUUGGGUCCAUGGCAGCCUGUGAUUCUGGCACGCAGCACCAUGCCUAUAGCUCACUGUUAAAUGCUUACGUCCUUGCUAUACUCACAGGAAAGAGAGUUGCGAUAAGGCCUACACAUACAGCAAAAUGCACACCAAAAUCGUUACUACCUGAUGUGAAUGAAAGAGUGACUCACGAGAAGGAAUUCAGCACAGCAAUAUUACUCAUGCAAGAAGACUUUCAGGAGAACACCUUAGGAGGCACCUCAGUGGAAACCUCUAGCUCACCUCUAGUAAAUCAUUUUAGCCUCAAAGACCUGAAAACUAAGCUCUCAGAAGAGCUAGCCUGUUAUAUCUCUCUGCCUCAGUUUCUUGGCCUUCAGGACUAAGAAGAUGCUUUCAGAUCUUUGAAAGUCAUGGCUAUUGUUUGGUAGCAAAGUGUUAUUUAUAUAUCCUGUAAUUAUCAGUAUGCAUUAUUAUUAUGGAUGAAUUAGACUUGCCUUGCAUUUGCAUCCAUAAUAUUUUAGAGCAGAAUUUUAGCCUUUGCUUCAUUCCCAUUUCACCCAGCCCUGCGAGCAUACUGCUAAAGCUCAGGAAGGUCAGAGUACAGGAACACUUAACACAUCUUUUGGAAGGCUGAUUGUAAAGCAGGCAUGGUAAUGUUUCACUGCCGUAAACUGAAGAGAUUACUGAUUAUACACAGUAAAGCUGUCACAGCUGAUGGUUUGUUUCAUGGACCUGCCACUGCAGGGCAACGUGGUUCUUCCACUGGAGACUCAGAUAGCCUUUGCUAGCAGAGCAGCUCGGGCUUUGUUCACCCUGCUCCUCUGGCUGCCGUUACACGUUGUGCAUCGAUUGAUGUUGUGCUGCACCCGCGCUAAUAAAUAAAAUGGGCAGGGCCA